RNAcentral lists this ribosomal RNA (450 nucleotides) under uncultured bacterium. Its description in RNAcentral is "partial 16S ribosomal RNA". It matches the Rfam family "Bacterial small subunit ribosomal RNA", at positions 338 to 795 of the family's 1533-position model. The record is from RNAcentral.
CCUACGGGUGGCAGCAGUGAGGAAUAUUGGUCAAUGGACGCAAGUCUGAACCAGCCAUGCCGCGUGAAGGAUGAAGGCCUUCUGGGUUGUAAACUUCUUUUAUUGGGGAAGAAAAUUACGGUUUCUACUGUAACCGACGGUACCCAAGGAAUCAGCACCGGCUAACUCCGUGCCAGCAGCCGCGGUAAUACGGAGGGUGCAAGCGUUAUCCGGAUUCACUGGGGUGAAGGGGUGCUAUUAAGGGCGUUUUGAAAUCUCCGGGCUCAACCUGGAAACUGCCAUUGAUACUAUUAGUCUUGAAUAUCGUUGAGGUAGGCGGAAUAUAUCAUGUAGCGGUGAAAUGCAUAGAUAUGAUAUAGAACACCGAUUGCGAAGGCAGCUUGCUAAACGAUGAUUGACGCUGAGGCACGAAAGCGUGGGGAUCAAACAGGAUUAGAUACCCCAGUAGUC